RNAcentral lists this ribosomal RNA (326 nucleotides) under uncultured bacterium. Its description in RNAcentral is "bacterial SSU rRNA". It matches the Rfam family "Bacterial small subunit ribosomal RNA", at positions 28 to 351 of the family's 1533-position model. The record is from RNAcentral.
GACGAACGCUGGCGGCGUGCCUAACACAUGCAAGCCUGGGAGAAGAGAGUAGCAAUACUUUUGUACACCGGCGCACGGGUGAGUAAUAUAUAGGUAACCUGCCCUUUGGUUUGGGAUAACUCGUCGAAAGGCGAGCUAAUACUGAACGACGCUAUGAUUCCACAUGGGAUUAUAGUUAAAGCCUUCGGGCGCCAAGGGGAUGGGCCUGUAUCCCAUUAGAUAGUUGGUGAGGUAACGGCUCACCAAGUCAAUGAUGGGUAGCUGAUCUGAGAGGAUGAUCAGCCACACUGGAACUGAGACACGGUCCAGACUCCUACGGGAGGCAG